Molecule: ribosomal RNA, 451 nt
Filed under: uncultured eukaryote
Lineage: Eukaryota
Description: partial 18S ribosomal RNA
Rfam family: Eukaryotic small subunit ribosomal RNA
Source: RNAcentral
CAUUAGCGUAUACUAAAGUUGCUGCGGUUAAAAAGCUCGUAGUUGGAUUUUGGAAGUACACUCGAGAGGGUGCAUGGAGGGAGAGGGUAUUGGGAAGGUGGGCGCUACUAGUUAGUGUCGUGCUUCCUUCCUCUUGCUUGCUUUCGCUAUCGUGUAGAUAGCAGUGUCAGUUUGCGUUUCUGUGGUUUUGAUUAAUUGCGGAUUUAUCGCGCUGUCGAAUUUACUUUGAAAAAAGAGGAGCGUUCAAAGCAGGCCUUUUUGUUGCGGCCGUUGAACAUUUUAGCAUGGGAUAAUGGAAGAGGACUUUUUGUCCAUUUUGUUGGUUUUCAGACAAGAAGUAAUGAUUGAGAGGGACAGUUGGGAUCUUCGUAUUCAGUUGUCAGAGGUGAAAUUCUUGGAUUAUCGGAAGACGAACUUCUGCGAAAGCAUUGAUCAAGGAUGUUUUCAUUAA